GUAACACGUGGGUAACCUGCCCUUAAGUGGGGGAUAACAUUUGGAAACAGAUGCUAAUACCGCAUAGAUCCAAGAACCGCAUGGUUCUUGGCUGAAAGAUGGCGUAAGCUAUCGCUUUUGGAUGGACCCGCGGCGUAUUAGCUAGUUGGUGAGGUAAUGGCUCACCAAGGCGAUGAUACGUAGCCGAACUGAGAGGUUGAUCGGCCACAUUGGGACUGAGACACGGCCCAAACUCCUACGGGAGGCAGCAGUAGGGAAUCUUCCACAAUGGACGCAAGUCUGAUGGAGCAACGCCGCGUGAGUGAAGAAGGCUUUCGGGUCGUAAAACUCUGUUGUUGGAGAAGAAUGGUCGGCAGAGUAACUGUUGUCGGCGUGACGGUAUCCAACCAGAAAGCCACGGCUAACUACGUGCCAGCAGCCGCGGUAAUACGUAGGUGGCAAGCGUUAUCCGGAUUUAUUGGGCGUAAAGCGAGCGCAGGCGGUUUUUUAAGUCUGAUGUGAAAGCCCUCGGCUUAACCGAGGAAGCGCAUCGGAAACUGGGAAACUUGAGUGCAGAAGAGGACAGUGGAA
Molecule: ribosomal RNA, 570 nt
Filed under: Lacticaseibacillus paracasei
Lineage: Bacteria; Bacillati; Bacillota; Bacilli; Lactobacillales; Lactobacillaceae
Description: bacterial SSU rRNA
Rfam family: Bacterial small subunit ribosomal RNA
Source: RNAcentral